This 324-nucleotide small nuclear RNA is filed under the name Felis catus (domestic cat). RNAcentral describes it as "7SK RNA". It matches the Rfam family "7SK RNA". Rfam says of the family: 7SK was discovered as an abundant small nuclear RNA in the mid-70s but a possible function has only recently been suggested. Two independent studies have found that 7SK RNA binds the CDK9/cyclin T complex (known as elongation factor P-TEFb). P-TEFb activates transcription by phosphorylating the C-terminal domain of RNA polymerase II. The record is from Rfam by way of RNAcentral. Lineage: Eukaryota; Metazoa; Chordata; Mammalia; Carnivora; Felidae.
GGGUGUGAGGGUGAUAUGGCAGUGACAUCUGUCACCCCAUUGGUCAACCAGGGUUGAUUUGGCUGAUCUGACUGGCUAGGCAGAUAUCCCCUUCCUCCCUCACUGCUCUGUGUGCACCCCUCCUAUAGUUGUGCACUCAAAGAGGGUGACCUUCCCGGAUAGAGGAGGGCUGUUCUUCCAUCAAGGGUAUAUGGGAAUUGUGCACCUGUUAGAAACUCUGAACAACCUGUCAAGGUCCAUCCAUAGGAAAAUGUAGGGUAGUCAAGAUUCCAAGACUCCACACACAUCCAAAUGAGGCACUGCCUGUGGCAAUCCGCAUUUUUU